GCAGGUGGAUUCACAAUUAUAUAAAGGCUUACACAAAGAAAUGCCUCAAUCAUAUCUAAAACCAAACAACUUCUAUUUCGCUUUGCAAACACACAGGGCAAGUUCUAGGUAUCGCAUGCAAGCACAGAAUGCAAGUAAAAUCUCACACACACUUAGCAUGUAACUCGUUCAGAAUCAAUUUAUCAAUACACUCAUAUGAGCUUUCAAGCAAGGCAAGAUGUGCAAAAUUAAGGCAUAGAUUUACAAGUCCACAACUGAGCCUAGACAUAACACUCUCAAGUUCAUUUUAGUUGUUUGCAGGUGUGAACAUCAAGGGUAGCACUCUAGCCUUCACCCAUGUUAGUCCUAAACUACAAAUGAAAAAUCUACCUAACCCGGUUCAAGAAAAAAUAUUGGAAAAGAACCGUGGUCAAAAGAAAAACCAAGGAGGAUUUACUACACUACCUAAGAAGGAAAAAAUAAAUAAAAAAAUAUUUACAUGGACUACUUCCCUCGAGAGUACUGUCCAAGUGGUCCGUCCUCUCCUCUAACUUUGUUUUUUUUCCAGCUUUUUUUAUGUAUCCGACUUGGACCCUCAAGAGACCCGUCGACAAGUGUCCGUCAUUGGGCCAAGUCAGGUACUCCUUAUAUACCUACCAUCAGUUAUAUACAACACAACAAACCAAUGUUGUAAUAGUCACAAUGUCUAUGUACGGUACAACACAUAACCAGAGAAAGUCUCCCACCCCACACUUAAAAUCACGGCAUGUCCUCACGUCAUAUCAAUAAAGUAAAGAACAGAUGGGUAAGAAGAC
RNAcentral lists this long non-coding RNA (794 nucleotides) under Nicotiana benthamiana. Its description in RNAcentral is "long non-coding RNA (NBEN_LNC004200)". Lineage: Eukaryota; Viridiplantae; Streptophyta; Magnoliopsida; Solanales; Solanaceae. The record is from RNAcentral.